AACACCCACUGGUCUGCUUUCAUAACAUGAGAGGAGGAGCUGGGCGGAGAGUUACAGAGCAAACAGGAGGGCUGCACUAACCUGCAGCCCAGAGGACGAGUGGAGGAUGGAGGGCGGUGUUUAACAUCCAGUCCCGCCUACCGGACCAUUAACGACCGCCGCCACGUGUACCUCAUCUUCUGACUCACCCCUGAAACCCACCUCCAUGAAUGUGGAAGCACACAGGUAACUGGAAAAUGAAGACGACAUGAUGUGACCUACUGGGGAUAUAGCUGCAAAUUCACUGCUGGCUUCUGCAAUCUAAUUGGAGGUUGCAUACGUUUUGAUGGAGGUGGUGUUCUCACUCUACCUGCGACCAUCAGGGCGUCUGUGGAGGUUUGGGUGAAGGACACGAACCUUGACUCUCAAAGCUUGCUGCUCUUCCCGGCCACUGCAAGGCGCAGGCAGGGAGGGGUUGUGACUGCAUUGGGAACAUGUAAGGUACCUGGAGGAGGAGGUGGGCUCGGUGGUCUGCCUCUGGAUCUUAGCCUGCUGGCUGAGCUUCUCCCUCAGGGCUGUUUGCACCUCGGCGGGGAUGUCUGGAGACGUCUGGCUGAUCUUCAUGGCCGCCUCGAGGAGCUUGACAGUGCUCCGUCCAUUCACCUUCACUUCCAGCGGGUACUUCUUCUCCACCUCCGCCACUUUGCACUUAGUGACCGGUGGCGAGUUGGGUGGAGGCGCCUCAGGGAAACCAACAUUGAGGCCAUUUUCGGCAUGGGCUGACAGAGCCUUGCUCCUCCAAAAGGGCCAGCACAGCUUCCAAAAGACAAAGAGAGAGACUACCAACAGGGCGAGGCCACAGAAACCCACGACCACAGCAAGGAGACUAAUAGAGAUGUCUACAUGUAACCAUGGAAAGACCCAUAGAGGAAGACAGAGACACAUAAAAAGGAAAGGAGAAGCAAGCAAGGGACAAAAUAUGACAGACAAACAUGCAAGGGAGAAAGAGAAAAAAGGAGAGAAAGCCAGCUGUAAGAAAGAGGGGGCAGCAUAUGCACCUGUUAAAGCAGGACAAUAUAAAGUCAUGUAAAACCUCGGUCAAGGAGCCACAGCAUCAAGAGAAUGACAUGUUCAGUGACCAAAGUGAAAAACAUAUCCCAUCUGCUCCUGACAUUACCUGUUCUUAUUUAUAUGUAAAUGCUAAGUUUGCACUGUAUCAUAUGCAAGAAAGCUUAAUGCAGCCUAUACAUGCAGCUUUUCAAAAUCUGUUAAUCAGACUGACACUGAGUAAAUUACCGAGAUUGCAAAGUAAAAAACGGAAAGAAGACGGGAGAAAGCCAGGAAAUCAGACCUCAGUCUAUUUUCCACCUGUUGCUAUUUCAUCAGUCUGGAUGCGUAACAGGUAGAGAAGCACUUUUGCAACAGUUCAGCGCGAUAAAAUGCAUACAACUAAGUGGUUUAAUAGUUUUAACAAGUGAGAGCUGAUGUUUGGUUUCUGCUUUUUUUUUCUUCCAAACAGUGCAACAACGUAAUCUCUUCUUUAAAGGGAACACACGAAAGUGAUUAAUUGAGGGAAUGGCGGGAAAGAAAAUAAAGACUUUAUUGCAUUUACCUGCGUGUCCUUUACCUGGUAUGUUGCUCUCCAGGGGGAAAAUAUCCGAACAUUUCUCCCGGUCUACGUUUCCCGUGAGACAAAGUUCCGUGAUGAUUUCGAGAGCCCUUUGGCACAAGGUGAUGCUGUCCUCCGUCCGGACACUCAUGUCUCUCCUGUUAAGCCAUUGCACGCCGGGGGAGCCAGGAGGGCGGUGAUUCAUUUGGGCACCUUUUUUUAUGCGCCGCAGAGUGCAGCCCGUCCGCGGGAGACAGCAGGGAGGCACGCUGCGUCCUGAUCCAUAUCCAGCGCGCAACGAGGAGCCACUGACCAGACGCGCUCCCUGUGUUUGAGUAACAGGCGGUGGGGUGCUGGAGUCCAACCCUGGCAGCGU
Perca flavescens (yellow perch) is the source of this 1964-nucleotide RNA transcript. It is a transcript of the gene named troponin T2c, cardiac, with no coding region annotated. NCBI's taxonomy places the organism in Eukaryota, Metazoa, Chordata, Actinopteri, Perciformes, Percidae. The record is from RefSeq and is a predicted model, not a curated record. The transcript has 4 exons.